AAAAAUAAACAGUGUGAGUUUACUAUUAAAGUGGAUGUCUUGUUUCUCCAGGAAUGAGCUUAAAAAACACAUGAGCUACUGUGACUAGGUGGCCACUUGAUUAGGUGUAUGUGUUAGUUUUAUGUUCUGUAACAUGUUAGCCGUAGGCAGUAUUUUUGGACCGAGACUUGCUCCUGUUGUUUGUUUCAGAUAUUCAGUUUAAGAUCUAAAUUUCACCAAUAUGUCUUUUGUUUACCUUUCCUGAUGUGUUUUAGAUGAACAGAAUCACUUGUGUUUAUAUGGAUAGUAGCUACUUUUACUUCAGCACAUAAAGAACGAAAUCUGUAUGAGUAUUUUUUAAAGCAUUUCUACAUAAGCAAAACAUAUCAAGGGGCAGUAUGCUGGAAUAAAAUCAUAUAUACAAAUUUGUUUCUAGAGCAAGGAUGAAAAGCACUCCAUACACACUCACAAGGAUGAUGAUCCAUCUGUUUCUAGGAUGGUGGGACUUGAGGUCAAACUGCACAGGUUUACAUUCAACUUCGCUUGUUGAUAUUUCUGACAUAUACUUGAUGGAAUAUACAUAAAUAUGUGUUCUUUCUUAUAGGUAUGCACCAGAUUCAAGGAUCAGCUACUUGAUGAAAUAUACAGGAGACUCUCCUACUCAACAUUACCUUAAAAAAAGAAUCAAGGAUCAGUUCAAUGGGAAUUGGAAUGAUAAAAACACUUGUUUGAGCACAUCU
This 719-nucleotide long non-coding RNA is filed under the name Triticum aestivum (bread wheat). RNAcentral's name for it is "long non-coding RNA (TAES_LNC019531)". The record is from RNAcentral. Lineage: Eukaryota; Viridiplantae; Streptophyta; Magnoliopsida; Poales; Poaceae.